GAUGAACGCUGGCGGCGUGCUUAACACAUGCAAGUCGAACGAACCUUCGGGUUAGUGGCGGACGGGUGAGUAACGCGUGGGAAUCUGCCCUCAGGAGGGGGAUAACGGUUGGAAACGACCGCUAAUACCCCAUAUGCCGAGAGGUGAAAUGAAUUUCGCCUGAGGAUGAGCCCGCGUCUGAUUAGCUAGUUGGUGAGGUAAUGGCUCACCAAGGCAUCGAUCAGUAGCUGGUCUGAGAGGAUGAUCAGCCACACUGGGACUGAGACACGGCCCAGACUCCUACGGGAGGCAGCAGUGGGGAAUUUUCCGCAAUGGGCGAAAGCCUGACGGAGCAACACCGCGUGAGGGACGAAGGCCUCUGGGCUGUAAACCUCUUUUCUCAAGGAAGAAGAUAUGACGGUACUUGAGGAAUAAGCCACGGCUAAUUCCGUGCCAGCAGCCGCGGUAAUACGGGAGUGGCAAGCGUUAUCCGGAAUUAUUGGGCGUAAAGCGUCCGCAGGCGGCCUUUCAAGUCUGCUGUUAAAACGUGGAGCUUAACUCCAUCAGGGCAGUGGAAACUGAUUGGCUUGAGUAUGGUAGGGGCAGAGGGAAUCCCCGGUGUAGCGGUGAAAUGCGUAGAUAUCGGGAAGAACACCAGUGGCGAAGGCGCUCUGCUGGGCCAUUACUGACGCUCAUGACGAAAGCCAGGGGAGCGAAAGGGAUUAGAUACCCCUGUAGUCCUGGCCGUAAACGAUGAACACUAGGUGUCGGGGGAAUCGACCCCUUCGGUGUCGUAGCUAACGCGUUAAGUGUUCCGCCUGGGGAGUACGCACGCAAGUGUGAAACUCAAAGGAAUUGACGGGGGCCCGCACAAGCGGUGGAGUAUGUGGUUUAAUUCGAUGCAACGCGAAGAACCUUACCAGGGCUUGACAUCCUGCGAACCUUUAAGAAAUUAGAGGGUGCCUUCGGGAACGCAGUGACAGGUGGUGCAUGGCUGUCGUCAGCUCGUGUCGUGAGAUGUUGGGUUAAGUCCCGCAACGAGCGCAACCCACGUUUUUAGUUGCCAGCAUUUAGUUGGGCACUCUAGAAAGACCGCCGGUGAUAAACCGGAGGAAGGUGUGGAUGACGUCAAGUCAUCAUGCCCCUUACGUCCUGGGCUACUCACGUACUACAAUGCUACGGACAAAGGGCAGCAAACUCGCGAGAGCUAGCAAAUCCCAUAAACCGUGGCUCAGUUCAGAUCGUAGGCUGCAACUCGCCUACGUGAAGUAGGAAUCGCUAGUAAUCGCAGGUCAGCAUACUGCGGUGAAUACGUUCCCGGGCCUUGUACACACCGCCCGUC
RNAcentral lists this ribosomal RNA (1321 nucleotides) under uncultured bacterium. RNAcentral's name for it is "bacterial SSU rRNA". It matches the Rfam family "Bacterial small subunit ribosomal RNA", at positions 28 to 1398 of the family's 1533-position model. The record is from RNAcentral.